Molecule: long non-coding RNA, 4015 nt
Organism: Beta vulgaris subsp. vulgaris (sugar beet)
Lineage: Eukaryota; Viridiplantae; Streptophyta; Magnoliopsida; Caryophyllales; Amaranthaceae
Exons: 2
Source: RefSeq, a predicted model, not a curated record
UUCUCUACCUAAUUUUGUUGAACUUAAACAAAUUUGAUUCAAUAAUUCUUUGGUUUGUUGAUGAAUUAGACAAUUAGUUGAUUUCAUUGUUAAUUUGGCGAAGACUUCGGAGGUCUCGUCGAGUCGUCGUCAUGGAGAAUUCGGUUUGAACAACCAUUUGAAUACAAUAAAGAUAUCUUCCUUGAUUCAAAUUUAUCUCUAGAAAAAUAAAAGUUUUAAAAUUGCUUUACAUUAGAGUUCCAAAUUUUCAAUAUUAUCACAGGAUAUAAAUUGUUGAGUUGUGCAAAAACAUAAAGCUACAGAAUAUUUUGUGUUUUUUUUUCUUCAACUGUUUAUACAGUAAAAAAAUUAUGUGGUAUUUUUGGUUAUUUUUAUUUUUGUGAAAUUGCAAAUGCUAUGCCUUUUAUUAGGUUAAUAUAUUCCUAAUUUCCCGUUUGUAAUUAGUCGUAAUAUUUACUUUUUUAAACCUUUGUUGCAUGUAAGAAGGUAAAAUGGAAACAUUAAGCAAUAACUAAGCAUUAAUAAUAUUGGUGACAGAUGGACAUGUGAUUUUUGAUAAAGAAAUUAGUGAAUACUAGCGCUUUCGCCUGGUAUUGCUUAUUGUUGAUUCUGGAAAUUACUUUUUUGCCUUGCAUUGCAUAUUGUUGAUUUUGGAAAAUACUUUUAUGCCUUGCAUUGCAUAUUGUUGAUUUUGGAAAAUACUUUUAUGCAGAGUAUAUUUUUGGCAUUGACAACUCUAUGUUCUAUUGGCAUUUUGCAUUUAACCUCGUUUGCCUAAUUUUUAUGGUCCACCUGACAUAGCUAUUCUCUUGCCCACUUGUUUUCAAUGUUUUUGUAGAGAGCUUGUAAGUGGGUUGGAAGAAGGAGUAGGGUCUAGAAAGCAGAGAUUGAUAAGGGUAGAACUUGUAAGUGGGUUGCAAGCCGCAACAACGAGCCAAAGUUUACCUAUUCCUUUUCACAAGGUUUUGCAGGAAUUAUUUUUGACGGGUGUACGACAACCUAUCAGUGAUCCUAGGAAAAAGACAAAAAGAGGGAGUAGAUUAUGGAGAAACAUUUGCUCCUGUAGCAAAACUUACUACUCUGAGAGCUUUACUUGUUGUAGCUACAAUACAGGGCCGGCAUACACAUCAAAUGGAUGUGAAAAAUGCCUUUCUACAUGGAGAAUUAGAAGAAACAGUUUACAUGAAGAUGCCUCCACGAUAUGAAGGUCAAGGAUUCAGGUUCAAUAUACAAGCUCAGGGGGAGUAUGUUGGUUUAACUCAGCAGUCAAACAAGGUGUGCAAGCCGUUGAAGUCCUUGUAUGGACUUAAACAAGCUCCUAAGCAAUGGUUUGCCAAAUUGAGCUUAGUUUUCAAGCAACAUAACUCCAAUCAGUCCAAAAGUGAUUAUUCACUCUUCACUAAGCAAGAAGGUCAUGAUUUUGUUGUCGUGUUAGCUUACACUAGUAGAAAUUGUUGCGGUUUUGUCCAUACGUAGCAAUAUAUCACGUAAAAAGAAAAGGCAAAGUAUAAAAUAAAGAUAUUGCUGCGGUUUUGACCUAAAACCGCAGCAAUAUGGUGUCAACAAGAAACAUUUUGAAAAAAGUUGACUAUUUGACCAAACAUAUUGUUGCGGUUCUUGAGAAAACCGCAACAAUAUAUUAAAAAAUAGAUUUUAGUAUAUUGUUGCGGUUCUUGACAAAAACCGCAGCAAUAUUAUUAAAAAAUAUUAAAAAAAUAUAUAAAAGGCGCUACUUAGGGUUUUUUUUCCUCAAAUCCUUUCUCCUGUCACUUAGGCUCCUCUCACUCCUCCUCUUCCCUCUCACUCCUCUUCCUUCCCCUUCGAAUCUCACGCCUCUCCCUCUGCCUUCCCCUUCGGAUCUCACGCCUCUCAUCACCAUCGUAAUAUCCUCCUUCGAUCCCCUCGGAUCUCCUUCCACUUUCUCUGAAACUGUCGAGUCUCACUCCUCGAAAUACCGCCGGCUGUGCGUUUCCUCUCAUCAAAACCGCCGGCUGUAGCGGUUCGUCGAUGAAACGGGUUAAAACGAAAUCUGUCAAAGUUCGACAUCCGUUGAUUCCGGUUCGUCGCUGAAGUUUGUCGAGACUCGAGAGUUCUUCAUCGCCUUUGUUUGUCCUUCGAACCUCUGGAUCUCCUUGCAGACGAAGACUAUAAACUUCUUUGGCGGCUUUCGAGUUCUAUUUGUCCUUCACGAAGCUCCUUCGGCGGCUCUUCGAAUUCCUUUUUAGUUUUUUUUUCUGUUUUUUCCUUUCGAUAUAAAUUUCUGUAUUUUUUAUCUUCUUCAUUUUUAUUUUUAUUUCGAUUUAAAUCUAAAGGUUUGUUUUUUUUAUUUUCUUCAUUUUAAUUUUUGAUCUAGAUAUGAUGUUUAGGAUUGUCUUCAGUUGAUAUUUUAUGAAGUAGAAUGUUUUUGUUGAAUGUUGAAAUACAUUUGUUGGUCACAUUCCUUGAAUGAGCUUUGAUUUAGGUUAUGCUUAUGUUGUAUUUUCGCUGAUUGAUCUGUUUUAGUUACCUUUAAUUUUUAUUGCAUUUUAAGUAUUCUUAAUAUUGAAGAUUUUAAUUUUUUUUAAUUUUUUUUUAAAAAAAGUGCACAUAUUGCUGUGGGUUUGGCUCAAAACCGCAGCAAUAGGUGUACUUUUUUAACAUUACAAAAAUAAAUACUGUUGUGGUUUCGAUAAGGAACUGCAGCAAUAUGGUUACCCUAUUGCUGCGGUCAUAAACCGCAGCAAUAAAUAAUCUCCUAUUGUUGCGCCCUUAAUUGCUGCGCGGCUAAAACCGCCGCAAUAGGCCACUUUAUAACCGCAACAAUAAGCAUUUAUUCUACUAGUGUUAUGUUGAUGAUCUAAUUCUCACAGGAAACAACAUAGCUUCCAUUCAAGAAGUUAAGAGGUUCCUAAGCCAUCAAUUAAAAAUGAAAGGCCUAGGGGAGUUAAGAUACUUCCUAGGCAUUGAGGUAGAUAGAAGAUAAAAAGGCAUAUUUCUAUCUCAAAAGAAAUAUGUCACUGACUUGCUUGCUCAGUAUAGGAUGCAGAAUUGUAGGGUCUUGAAACUCCCUAUGGAUACUCAUGUGAAGCUCCUAUCUACUGUUGGGGAACUGCUUCCACAUCCUGAUGUGUAUCAAAGAUUAAUUGGAAAAUUAAUCUAUCUAACUAUCACUAGGCCUUAUUUCUUACACUGUCCAUGUCUUAAGUCAAUUCAUGCACUCACCAACUUCAGUGCACUUACAAGCUGCAAAAAGGGUGCUAAGGUACUUAGCUGGCUCUCUUGGCUAAGGCAUUUUACUUGCUUCAAAAUCUGCAACAUAUCUUCAAGUUUAAUGUGAUAGUGAUUGGGUUGGUUGCCCUAACACUAGGAGAUUAACCUCAGGUUUUUGCCUUCUCUUGGGUGAGUCUCAUGUUGCUUGGAAAUCCAAAAAGCAAUUUGUGGUAGCAAGAUCCACAGCAGACGCAGAGUAUAGGUCUUUAGCUAUGGCUACUUGUGAGGUUAUAUGGGUGAAACAGCUUUUGAAGGAACUAGGGAAGAAGAAACUUGGCUCUACUCCUGUAUUUUGUUACAAUCAAGCUGCUAUGGCUUUUAUUGCUAAUCAUGUGCAUCAUGAAAAGAAAAAAACAUGUGGGAAUAGAUUGUCAUUUCAUCUGUGAACAAGCUAGUGCAGGUACCAUUCAGCCUACUUAUGUUUAAUCUUCCAAGCAGAUUGCAGAUGUCCUAACCAAGGUUCUUAGUAUUGACCAACAUCAGUUCUUAUUGUCCAAGAUGGGAGUUGAGUCUACCUUCUAUCCUACCUUGAGGGGGGGGGGGGUUGUUAAGAUACAUGGUCCAUACCUCUCUAAUGGCCCAUGUACAACAGGCCCAGGUGGUGUAUGCUGGUUUGUGCUCAGCUGCAGCUAGAAAUACUAAGAAGAUCAACCUAGUAAUUUGUGUUAGUGCUCUCAUAAUUAUUUUUUGUCCUUAUGUAUGCAACAAUGUAAAGGCAUGAUGGAAUGAAUGAAAAGACAGUUGAGUUGAAAUCUCUAAAGCAUAA